UACGUAGGGUGCGAGCGUUGUCCGGAAUUAUUGGGCGUAAAGAGCUCGUAGGCGGCCUGUCGCGUCGGUUGUGAAAGCCCGGGGCUUAACCCCGGGUCUGCAGUCGAUACGGGCAGGCUAGAGUUCGGUAGGGGAGAUCGGAAUUCCUGGUGUAGCGGUGAAAUGCGCAGAUAUCAGGAGGAACACCGGUGGCGAAAGCGACUUCCUGGACCAGUACCGACGUUCAGGCACGAAAGCGUGGGGAGCAAACAGG
Molecule: ribosomal RNA, 253 nt
Filed under: uncultured bacterium
Lineage: Bacteria
Description: partial 16S ribosomal RNA
Rfam family: Bacterial small subunit ribosomal RNA
Source: RNAcentral